CUUCGGCCCGAGUUGUAAUUUGCAGAGGAUGUUUAUGGUGCGGUACCUUCCGAGUUCCCUGGAACGGGACGCCACAGAGGGUGAGAGCCCCGUCUGGUUGGAUACCAAACCUGUGUUAAACUCCUUCAACGAGUCGAGUAGUUUGGGAAUGCUGCUCUAAAUGGGAGGUAAAUCUCUUCUAAAGCUAAAUACCGGCCAGAGACCGAUAGCGCACAAGUAGAGUGAUCGAAAGAUGAAAAGCACCUUGAAAAGGGGGUUAAACAGUACGUGAAAUUGUUGAAAGGGAAGCGUUUAUGACCAGACUUGUGUCGUGUGGCUCAUCCGAGGUUCUCCCCGGUGCACUCCACACGGCUCAGGCCAACAUCGGUUCUCGUCGAGGGAUAAGAAUAGUAGGAACGUGGCCCCCUCCGGGGGGUGUUAUAGCCUAUUAUACGAUACCUUGAUGGGGACCGAGGACCGC
This 460-nucleotide ribosomal RNA is filed under the name Apiognomonia rigniacensis. RNAcentral's name for it is "eukaryotic LSU rRNA". It matches the Rfam family "Eukaryotic large subunit ribosomal RNA", at positions 131 to 598 of the family's 3401-position model. The record is from RNAcentral. Lineage: Eukaryota; Fungi; Ascomycota; Sordariomycetes; Diaporthales; Gnomoniaceae.